CAGUCGAGGGGCAGCAUGGUCUUAGCUCGCUAAGACUGAUGGCGACCGGCGCACGGGUGAGUAACACGUAUCCAACCUGCCGUCUACUCUUGGACAGCCUUCUGAAAGGAAGAUUAAUACAAGAUGGCAUCAUGAGUCCGCAUGUUCACAUGAUUAAAGGUAUUCCGGUAGACGAUGGGGAUGCGUUCCAUUAGAUAGUAGGCGGGGUAACGGCCCACCUAGUCUUCGAUGGAUAGGGGUUCUGAGAGGAAGGUCCCCCACAUUGGAACUGAGACACGGUCCAAACUCCUACGGGAGGCAGCAGUGAGGAAUAUUGGUCAAUGGGCGAGAGCCUGAACCAGCCAAGUAGCGUGAAGGAUGACUGCCCUAUGGGUUGUAAACUUCUUUUAUAAAGGAAUAAAGUCGGGUAUGCAUACCCGUUUGCAUGUACUUUAUGAAUAAGGAUCGGCUAACUCCGUGCCAGCAGCCGCGGUAAUACGGAGGAUCCGAGCGUUAUCCGGAUUUAUUGGGUUUAAAGGGAGCGUAGAUGGAUGUUUAAGUCAGUUGUGAAAGUUUGCGGCUCAACCGUAAAAUUGCAGUUGAUACUGGAUAUCUUGAGUGCAGUUGAGGCAGGCGGAAUUCGUGGUGUAGCGGUGAAAUGCUUAGAUAUCACGAAGAACUC
RNAcentral lists this ribosomal RNA (661 nucleotides) under uncultured bacterium. Its description in RNAcentral is "bacterial SSU rRNA". It matches the Rfam family "Bacterial small subunit ribosomal RNA", at positions 59 to 709 of the family's 1533-position model. The record is from RNAcentral.